Molecule: long non-coding RNA, 194 nt
Organism: Octopus sinensis (East Asian common octopus)
Lineage: Eukaryota; Metazoa; Mollusca; Cephalopoda; Octopoda; Octopodidae
Exons: 2
Source: RefSeq, a predicted model, not a curated record
GUGUGUCUCAAUAACCUGAGAGCUAUACCAGCGGAACACAAAGUCUUGGUGGGGCCACAUGUUCUGGACAGGUCCAAGAAUAGAGGUCAAACUCAAACUAAUAUGGACUGCUUCUUCCCAGAGGUAAAAAUAGAGUUGUGAAGGGUUGACAGACCUACCUAGAAAAAAUGGUUACAGAAGCAUCAAUGACAAUU